This 253-nucleotide ribosomal RNA is filed under the name uncultured bacterium. RNAcentral describes it as "partial 16S ribosomal RNA". It matches the Rfam family "Bacterial small subunit ribosomal RNA", at positions 524 to 776 of the family's 1533-position model. The record is from RNAcentral.
UACGUAGGUGGCAAGCGUUGUCCGGAAUUAUUGGGCGUAAAGCGCGCGCAGGUGGUUUCUUAAGUCUGAUGUGAAAGCCCACGGCUCAACCGUGGAGGGUCAUUGGAAACUGGGGAACUUGAGUGCAGGAGAGAAGAGUGGAAUUCCACGUGUAGCGGUGAAAUGCGUAGAGAUGUGGAGGAACACCAGUGGCGAAGGCGACUCUUUGGCCUGUAACUGACACUGAGGCGCGAAAGCCAGGGGAGCGAACAGG